This 29-nucleotide small RNA is filed under the name Bombyx mori (domestic silkworm). Its description in RNAcentral is "ovarian small RNA-24037". The record is from RNAcentral. Lineage: Eukaryota; Metazoa; Arthropoda; Insecta; Lepidoptera; Bombycidae.
UAUGUGCUGUUUGCAGCCAUGUCUACCAU